Molecule: ribosomal RNA, 497 nt
Filed under: uncultured bacterium
Lineage: Bacteria
Description: partial 16S ribosomal RNA
Rfam family: Bacterial small subunit ribosomal RNA
Source: RNAcentral
GACGAACGCUGGCGGUGUGCUUAACACAUGCAAGUGGUGCGACGAACCAGAGCUUUCUCUUCGUCGAAGCCGCGAGCGGGUGGGUAACACAUGCGUAAUCUACCCCGCUGACCGGGUCAACCCAAGGCAACUCGGGCUAAUACCGGAUGUGUUACGGAUUGAUAAGUCUCUUCACUAAGGGUAGCUUGGUCUUGCUGUCUCUGAUGGGCGGGUCCCCGAUGCAUUUGUUGGUUGGUGGGGUGCCGGCCUACGAAGGCAAGGAUGGCUAGCCGGACGGAGAGGAGGACCGGCCACACGGGAACUGAGACACGGCCCAGAUUCCUACGGGAGGCAGCAGUGGGGAAUCUUCCGCAAUGGGCGAAAGCGUGACGCAGCAAUCCCGCGUGAGGGAAGAAGGCCUUAGGGUCGUAAACCUCUUUGAGAAGGGAAGAAGGUAAGCGGGUGAAUAGCAGAGAGGAUUGACGGUACCGAAAGAAGAAGCCACGGCUAACUACGUG